Molecule: long non-coding RNA, 6408 nt
Organism: Brassica rapa (field mustard)
Lineage: Eukaryota; Viridiplantae; Streptophyta; Magnoliopsida; Brassicales; Brassicaceae
Source: RefSeq, a predicted model, not a curated record
CAACACCUGAAUAGUGGCCCUGCAUCUAAUAUCAUUUCCAACCAAGUUACAUUUAUUAUUUACUCGCUUGUUACUAUUGCUAUUUCAUUUAAACAUUUGCAACCUUUAGAAUUAAUAAACACUAGAUUUAAUUGUUCCCUAGCUCCUUGUGGAAUCGAUCCCUAAGUACUACAUCUGAACCUCUUUUGAUGAGAGUAACACUCCUUAGGGUAAUUUGAGCGGUAUCAAGUUUUAUAUUGGUCAUGAUGAUGUGCAGUCUAUCUUAUUCAUCUUCUUUUCGAUUUUUCUUUACAUUUUUUUUGGCAAAGUGUAAUCGAAUAGUGGGGUCAUCAGUAAUGUACCUACCCCUCGCUUCCAAUGAUGUGUGAUCAUUCCAUUAGAGAAGAAUAAUUGGAUCGCAUGAGACACUCCUACCCCUCUAAACCGCAGGAAAUCAUUUCAAUCCUUUUUCUUCUUUUUUAUUUAUUUCUGGAUGCCGAAGAGAGGAGAGAAAGAAACCAAAAAUUUACAGACUUAUGCCUUUCAGACCUGAAAGAGGAAUCCAAUCCAAUGUAUACCAAGCCCCAAGACAAGCAAAUUGAAUUGAUUUAGGUUGGAAGUCAGCUUCGGUUCCUUCAGACUCUCUCAGCUAGCGUGGAUGUUAUUGGCAGGUGAUCCACUUUGGCGUUUCUAUUCAGUACACCCAGUAUUCAAUAACCUCAAAGAAUGGUGCUAGAGAGCGGUUAGAUAGUAAGUAAAAUUGUAUUUGAUCAUAAUCCGCUUCUUGACUCGAAAUUUUUUUUUUUUGAAAACAUUUGAUAAGACUUAAUCCGGUCAGGUAUAUCGUUCUAACUUAUUUUUAGUCAUUAGCUUGAAUUUUGGAUAUCUGAUUUAGUCUGGAUGAGGAUGUGAACUUGCUCUAGAACAAGUCUCAGUGUCUCUCUUUCUCAUCUUGUUGAUGCAGUUGAUAAAAGCUCUUGCAGAAACUUCCCCUUUGUCUCUCAGCCCUGGAUCACGUAGCACUCUGACCUUGGGAAAGGAUUCAGAACCUCCUCUGCAGCGCACUCUAUACGCAAGACUUGCCUCUUGACAUUGCAAAGGGACUAGUGACAGGAAAUCAGCAUCUACAUUCUUUUUCUUUUUCUUCUUUCUAUUCCUGGUCCUUCCCCUAGACUUAGACUUUUAAGUCUAGGUUGUUCUGAAAUUCAGAGGGUAUCGACCGAUGUGGAAGACUUCGUGUUGAUCGAAUCUAAGGACUAAGAGUCGUCCGAUGAUGAAGGUUGAUUGUCGAUCGAUUCUGAGGACUGGAAGUCGACCGAUGCUGCAAUUCUAAUGUCGACUGACGCUUUUGGUAUUGCAGGCUCGCAAUUUGAAUCAGAUGUAGGUCAUGGAUCUUCAAAUAUCUCUAUGCAUGAAAUAAGCUCCUCACUUUUCUUCUUCUCCAUGGGAUCAUAGAAGACAGUUUCAUCAACAUUAGUCAGACACAUCUUAUUUCUCUUAAGAGCACAAACUGCCCCCCACUGUAGCCAUGAAAGCUCGUCCAAAAGAAGUGGAGAUGUCUUGCCUGAUUUGAUAUCCACAUCAUGAAAGUCCACAUGGAUAAUGCAUUCCCCUAUAUCCACCUUAACAUUCUUGAUCAUGCCUGCUGAUUUUGCUUGGGAGUGAUCCACGAAAGUGAAACUAUCUUUAGAAGGUCCCAUCUUUAGACCGAAUAGCUCAACAGUGUCUAUGUACAUGAUGUUGAAUGCAGAUCCAGUAUUGCAGAGAGCUUUUGGUAAAUGGCAACUAUGUAUAGAGCAUGGAAUCAGGAACUUUCCAGGAUCUUGUUCCUUCUUCAGUGUCCUCUUGGGUUUACGGCUGACCUUGUUGAAUAGGAGCUUAAUGUCCUUAUCAGUCUCUCUGACCAAGUCUAUAAUUAUGAUAUACAUCCUCAAAAGACAUAACCUUAGGAACCCUCUUCACCCUCUUGUGAAAUUCUUCAAGUUCCUCUUUGUUAACUUCUCGCCUUAGGUGUUUGGGAAUAUAUGGUUUCCUAGAUUUCACUCUCUUCUCAACUGGAAUUUCUUCUUUCGUUGCCUGCCUUUCCAUGGUAGGUUCAAAUAUGUCUGUUUGGUGUCGAUCGAUAUCUGGUAGAUGUUGUCGAUCAACACUCUUAACAAAAAAGGUUUCAGCUAGGGUUGAUUGCUCUUGCUAUGGUGCUUCUGCAGAUUGCUGACUUAUCUUCUCUGUUGUCUUCAAGCAAACUGAUGUCUGAGAUGGAUUUCGAGAGUCCUUCAAGCAGUGUGCAUCAAAAUCUGGUAAACGUACACGGUAUGAUAUUGGCGGUUGUUGAUCGCUGCACUUCUGUUGUUCUCGAUCGAUUCCAUUAUAUUGUUGUCGAUCGAUGUUGUCCCUUUUAACUCGAGCUAGGUUCGGAGGAUGUGGGUGUCGAGCAGCAAAAUCUAAGUGGCUUUGAAUUCGAACAGUUUUGUCUGAUCCCGAUCGGUGCUCAGAUGUUGACGUCGAUCGAUGCUCAGUUGUUGGUGUCGGUCGAUGCUCAGUUGUUGGUGUCGGUCGAUGCUCAAUUGUUGGUGUCAGUCGACACCAGUACGAGCUGUCUAUGGACAUGGAUCUUUCGACUAAUAAAACAUCUUCUUCCAGCUUCUCUUGCUCAAGCACUUCCCCAAAGUCAUCAUCUGAGAUGACAUUAAUCCUUUGACUAGAGCUUCUUGCUUCUUCACAGCUUCUGCAAUCUAAGAAACCUGGGCAUCUAGCAUCAUGACAUUGGCAUAUAAGGUUUCAAAUUUUCCAUUCAUCUCUUUGUAGAGAACAUCCAACCUCAGAUUUAAGUAUGCGCUCGUCUUCUGCUGAAUUUUUAGGAUCUUUUCCAUUAUUUGAAUAUGGUCAUGAUUCUCAUCCUUUUCUACAUUUUGUUCCACCAAUGAAACUUCAUGUACAGAACCAAUCUCAGCCUCAACGAUCUUGUCACUGUCUAUCGCAAUUGAUUUUAUCUUGUUCAUAUCCAGAUUGUUAAAACUGUUGCUAGACAUCAAGUUCUCAAUCAGUCGCUUAGCUUCCUAUGGGGUCCUUGUCUCGAAGUUUCCUUCGCGUGCAGUAUCCAGCAUUGUUAAGGUCAAAAUCGGUCACGACAGAAUCAAUGUCUGAAAGUCCGUAAAAAUCAGCAUGCACAUUUUUACGAAAAUUAAUCUUCGUAAAGAAAUCUUUACGAAGAGCCUUGCGUUAAAAUCUUGUUCAAAUUUCAAUCGAACCACUAAAUACCGAUUGUCCGAAGGCAACAGACAUGUAUCCAAAUUGGCCGCAGACAAGCUCAAGUAUGGCAAUCGGACCGCGGACAAGCCAAGCUCGAUCGAUAUACGGCGACCAAGCAUGCACACAGCUCGGUCGCUACGUAGCGACCGAGCUCGAGCCACAGCUCGGUCGCUACGUAGCGACAGAUCUCAAACAAAUCUCGGUCGCUACAUAGCGACCGAGCUCGACCCAAGCUCGAUCGCUACGUAGCGAGCGAGCAUGCGUACUGCUCGGUCGCUACAUAGCGACCGAGCACGCGCACGGCUCGGUCACUACGUACCGACCGAGCUCGGAACCAAGCUUGGUCACUACGUAGUGACCGAGCACAUGCACAUUUCGAUCGUUACGAAGAGAUCGAGCUUUGUCAAAACGUCGAUACAACACGAAUCCAUGCAUUCUCGUCUACUCUUUAAUGCUAUCUCCCAAAUAUUGUAGCUGAACCAUUUCAUGUUUCUCGUCACUCGAAGUCAUUGAUCAAACUUUACGAUAAAAACCGCGGAAAGUUCGUUUUUAUCGAAGAAACCGUAAUAAAAGUUUCGAGUCAAAAGAUGGCCGAAAGAGACCUAAGACGUGACUCGAAGCCCACUUACGAUUUCUUAACCAAAAAGCCCAUAAGCCUUAUGACGGUUUAUGCUUGGUUCGUAAGGAAAGAUAAAUGUCAAGUUUCCGCGGAUAAAUAUGAAGGUUUCGAAGAUAAUUACGAAGAUCGGGAAAAAUGAAAUAUCUCCAUUUUUAAGCUAUGACGGCUUAAGGGCAGAAGAGGAAAAGCGUAAACCGACCUAGGAGCGAGUAUAUAAGGAGUUCUAGGCGAGAGGCAAGAGGGAACUUUUUCACAGCAAACUUGCACUUAGAGCAGUUUAGGCAAUUUUCCAUUUUUUGUUAUUCGAGCUGCGACUCAAUUAGGUUUAGCCGACUUAGAGUUGCUAGAACUAGAAAUCUCGCCGACAGCUCUCGAGCCCAGGCUUAUACCUUGUUGUAACGCUCAAACGCAGAUUCGGAAUAAGAUCUACUUUGCUUUACUUUUACGAUUUUUAUACUUUAUCAUUGUUGUCUCGUGUUCUGAUUGCUUAGCGUGUGGUAUUAGUAGAUAUCCGGGACCUCUGGGAAAUUAAGGCUCUCCUACUUUCCUUAUUUAAACGGAAAUCGACAGUGCAAAUUUCGGUUCUCACAGUUUGGCGCUCGAAGGAGAGGGGGGGGUACGGAUCAAUCUAACUCUCAGCCACAAAACGCUUGAUCAAAACAAUGUCUGAAAAUACGAAAGACAAAAUCGCAGUUCGCAACAACGCUGGUAAGGCAACCCCAGCCACCACUGCGCCUAUGGCCAACGCUUACGCAAACGCCAUGGUCCCUAAAAAAAAAAAUUGAAAAAACCUAGCCGCGACUUUUCGCCAGGAAGUGCUACGAAACGAGCUUGCGAUUUCUCUGUCUAAACAUAAAGGAAAAUGAUAAAUUUUAUCAAAUCCCGUAAGUUUUGCUCAUUUUCGAGCUAAAGAAGUUUCAAUGCGUAAGGGUUUUAUCAAAACACGUUUUCCAAAAACUAUUCGGAAGGGAAAAACUUGUUCUCCCAAAAACCGCAGAACACCCCUAGGUUAAUCGCGGAAAAAGGAAGCACAGCAAAUUGAUUAUACAGCUCGGUCGCUACGUAGCUCGAUCAGUCGCUACGUAGUGACCCAGAACGCACACAGCUCAGUCGCUACGUAGCGACCGAGCACGCACACAGCUCGGUCGCUAUGUAGCGACCGAGAAAGCACACAGCUCGGUCGCUACGUAGCGACCGAGCUACCAACUUUCCACUCACUACAUAGCGACCUGUCAGGCCUCAGAAAGGUCCUCCUUUGGGUUCUCUUUUGAAUCCUCAUCGAAACGCUUUUCGUUUGGUCUCAAUCGGAGUUUCCGUUGAGAUUUUAAGACGAAAACAAAUAGGACUCUUCUUGGCUUGCUUCCACUCGCUACAGAGCGACCUGUCAGGCUUCAGAGAGGUCCUCCUUUGGGUUCUCUUUUGAAUCCAAAUCGACACGCUUUUCGUUUCGUCUCACUCGGAGUUUCUGUUGAGAUUUUACGAUGAAAGCAAGUAGGACUCUUCUUGGCUUGCUUCCACUCGCUACGUAGCGACCUGUCAGACCUUCACUCGCUACAUAGCGACCUGUUAGGCCUCAGAAAGUUCCUGCUUUGGGUUCUGUUUUGAAUCCUCAUCGAAAUGCUUUUCGUUUCGUCUCAAUCGGAGUUUUCGUUGAGAUUUUACGAGGAAAACAAGUAGGACUCUUCUUGGCUUGCUUCCACUCGCUACGUAGCGACCUGUCAAACCUUCACUCGCUAUAUAGCGACCUGUCAGGCCUCAGAAAGAUCCUCCUUUGGGUUCUGUUUUGAAUCCUCAUCGAAACGUUUUUCGUUUGGUCUCAAUCGGAGUUUCCGUUGAGAUUUUAAGACGAAAAAAGUAGGACUCUUCUUGGUCUGCUUCCACUCGCUACAAAGCGACCUGUCAGGCUUCAGAGAGGUCCUCCUUUGGGUUCUCUUUUGAAUCCUCAUCCAAACGCUUUUCGUUUCGUCUCAAUCGGAGUUCCCGUUGAGAUUUUACGACGAAAACAAGUAGGAUUCUUCUUGGCUUGCUUCCACUCGCUACGUAGUGACCUGUCAGACCUUCACUCGCUAUAUAGCGACCUGUCAGGCCUCGGAAAGGUCCUCCUUUAGGUUCUCUUUUGAAUCCCGAUCGAAACGCUUUUCGUUUCGUCUCAAUCGAAGUUUUCGUUGAGAUUUUACGAUGAAAACAAAUAAGACUCGUCUAAACUCCUAUGCUUGCCCCCACUCGCCCUUACCUCGAUCUUUGUGUUCUCCUUCAAAUCUCGAUCGAAACGUCUCUUGUUUCGCCUCGAUUGGAGUUACCAUUGAAACUUUAUGAUAAAAAAAAAACCACAAUGACUUGUUUUCUCGCAUGAAUUCAAAGUAAUUGUAUUAAACGGCAACAGUUAACUUAACACCUUAGCCGCCUUAACUUUACGAUUACGUUGAACCUUUUUAUAAAAAUUGACGUCCUAUCUAAGGAGAAGAUAACAGUAAAGUUCGAAAGAUAAAUGUCAAAUUUCAAAGGAUAAACACCAAUAUCAAGAAUGGCGAACAUACACGAGAAGAAGAAGGGAAAAAAAG